Molecule: long non-coding RNA, 455 nt
Organism: Amphimedon queenslandica
Lineage: Eukaryota; Metazoa; Porifera; Demospongiae; Haplosclerida; Niphatidae
Exons: 3
Source: RefSeq, a predicted model, not a curated record
AAAGAAAUUGAACCUAACUUUGGACAAACGGCAAAAAUAAAAACCGGCUACCUCAACUCAUCAGGCCCGCCUGACUAAACUCAUCAUACAAAACUGUUGCCAAGGGAACGCCAGACACAUUGAGUUAUGCCGAAGUGUGUGUGAAAGAGUUCAUUCUGAUCUGGUUGGAUUUGAGACAGGCAGUCAUUCUCAGUCGAUUUGUUUCUGGGGAGAGAAUGAGAGCUACGAUCAUGUGGAGUGUAGCCCAGGACAAAGAAUUAGACUAAAGACAAGAGGAGACUCUCUACUGAUAGAGUCAUUCACAAAGCUGGAUAGUGAUCAGCGAGCUCACUCAUCAAACUACACUGGAGGGGAGAAGACAGGACAGAGUUGGACUGAUAAGGUACUCGGACACAAAUCAACUGAUGAACCCAGCCAGGGAACAGGAGGAGGAGGAGAGGUUGAUGAUGAUGAAU